This 219-nucleotide ribosomal RNA is filed under the name uncultured Lactobacillus sp. RNAcentral's name for it is "partial 16S ribosomal RNA". It matches the Rfam family "Bacterial small subunit ribosomal RNA", at positions 144 to 355 of the family's 1533-position model. The record is from RNAcentral. Lineage: Bacteria; Bacillati; Bacillota; Bacilli; Lactobacillales; Lactobacillaceae.
UAACACCUGGAAAACAGAUGCUAAUACCGGAUAACAACAGAUGAUGCCUAUCAACUGUUUAAAAGAUGGUUCUGCUAUCACUCUUGGAUGGACCUGCGGUGCAUUAGCUAGUUGGUAGGGUAACGGCCUACCAAGGCGAUGAUGCAUAGCCGAGUUGAGAGACUGAUCGGCCACAUUGGGACUGAGACACGGCCCAAACUCCUACGGGAGGCAGCAGCC